RNAcentral lists this ribosomal RNA (460 nucleotides) under uncultured bacterium. RNAcentral describes it as "partial 16S ribosomal RNA". It matches the Rfam family "Bacterial small subunit ribosomal RNA", at positions 338 to 795 of the family's 1533-position model. The record is from RNAcentral.
CCUACGUGAGGCAGCAGUGAGGAAUAUUGGUCAAUGGACGAAAGUCUGAACCAGCCAAGUCGCGUGAAGGAUGACUGCCCUAUGGGUUGUAAACUCCUUUUAUAUGGGAAUAAAAUGUUCCUCGUGUGUGUUUUUGUUUGUACCCUAUGAAUCAGCAUCGGCUAACUACGUGCCAGCAGCCGCGGUACUACGGAGGAUCCGAGCGUUAUCCGGAUUUAUUGGGUUUAAAGGGAGCGUAGGUGGAUUGUGAAGGCAGUUGUGAAAGUUGGCGGCUCAACCGUAAAAUUGCAGUUGAAACUGGCAGGCUGGAGUACAGUAGAGGUGGGCGGAAUUCAUGGUGUAGCGGUGAAAUGCGUAGAUAUCACGAAGAACUCCGAUUGCGAAGGCAGCUCACUGGACUGCAACUGACACUGAGGCUCGAAAGUGUGGGUAUCAAACAGGAUUAGAUACCCUUGUAGUC